GUCCGGAAUUACUGGGCGUAAAGAGCUCGUAGGCGGUUUGUCACGUCGUCUGUGAAAUCCCUCGGCUUAACCGGGGGCGUGCAGGCGAUACGGGCAGACUUGAGUACUACAGGGGAGACUGGAAUUCCUGGUGUAGCGGUGAAAUGCGCAGAUAUCAAGAGGAACACCGGUGGCGAAGGCGGGUCUCUGGGUAGUAACUGACGCUGAGGAGCGAAAGCAUGGGUAGCGAACAGGAUUAGAUACCCUGGUAGUCCAUGCCGUAAACGGUGGGCGCUAGGUGUGGGGUCCUUCCACGGACUCCGUGCCGUAGCUAACGCAUUAAGCGCCCCGCCUGGGGAGUACGGCCGCAAGGCUAAAACUCAAAGGAAUUGACGGGGGCCCGCACAAGCGGCGGAGCAUGUGGAUUAAUUCGAUGCAACGCGAAGAACCUUAC
This 433-nucleotide ribosomal RNA is filed under the name uncultured bacterium. Its description in RNAcentral is "bacterial SSU rRNA". It matches the Rfam family "Bacterial small subunit ribosomal RNA", at positions 543 to 974 of the family's 1533-position model. The record is from RNAcentral.